AAAUGCGAUAAGUAAUGUGAAUUGCAGAAUUCAGUGAAUCAUCGAAUCUUUGAACGCACAUUGCGCCCGUCAGCAUUCUGGCGGGCAUGCCUGUUCGAGCGUCAUUUCAACCCUCAGGACCCCCCUUUCGCGGGGAGGGACCUGGCGUUGGGGAUCGGCCCGCCCCCCGCGGCGGCGCCGUCCCCGAAAUCUAGUGGCGGUCUCGCUGCAGCCUCCCCUGCGUAGUAGUUACAACCUCGCAUCGGAGCGCGGCGCGGUCACGCCGUAAAACCCCCGACUUUCUGAACGUUGACCUCGGAUCAGGUAGGAAUACCCGCUGAACUUAAGC
RNAcentral lists this unclassified non-coding RNA (328 nucleotides) under plant metagenome. Its description in RNAcentral is "partial contains 5.8S ribosomal RNA, internal transcribed spacer 2, and large subunit ribosomal RNA". The stretch from base 1 to 104 matches the Rfam family "5.8S ribosomal RNA", at positions 51 to 154 of the family's 154-position model. The record is from RNAcentral.